GGACAUCACCAGAGAAUCGUCCAUGAACUUCCUGAUCGAGCCACGGAACGGGCAGGCCAUUGCUUCCGAGCACAUCUCAACCGCCCCCGGUGGCACCUUCGUCUCGAACUUCAGGAGCUUUGCGUACUCGCUGAGCAGGUGGAACAUGUAGUCAUACACGUACUUCAUCUUCGCGCUCUCGGCGACGUACCUCUGUCCGUUCUCUCCGAUGGCCUGCGCCUGUGCAGGGUGCUCAUCUCCCCAUUCCACGGCGUACUUGAUGUCCCUGCACAUCUUGUGGGGCCUUAUGGGCCAGUAAUGGUCCAUGGGGAUCAGCCCUCUCGAGUAGAUAUCAUAGUAGUCCGGCUUUACCCGCAAUGUCAUGGCAUCGCAUGCU
Molecule: long non-coding RNA, 376 nt
Filed under: Eucalyptus grandis
Lineage: Eukaryota; Viridiplantae; Streptophyta; Magnoliopsida; Myrtales; Myrtaceae
Description: long non-coding RNA (EGRA_LNC002527)
Source: RNAcentral